AAUAGAUACCCAGGUAGUCCACCCCGUAAACGUUGGGAACUAGUUGUGGGGUCCUUUCCACGGAUUCCGUGACGCAGCUAACGCAUUAAGUUCCCCGCCUGGGGAGUACGGCCGCAAGGCUAAAACUCAAAGGAAUUAACGGGGACCCGCACAAGCGGCGGAGCAUGCGGAUUAAUUCGAUGCAACGCGAAGAACCUUACCAAGGCUUGACAUACACCAGAACACCCUAGAAAUAGGGGACUCUUUGGACACUGGUGAACAGGUGGUGCAUGGUUGUCGUCAGCUCGUGUCGUGAGAUGUUGGGUUAAGUCCCGCAACGAGCGCAACCCUCGUUCUAUGUUGCCAGCACGUAAUGGUGGGAACUCAUGGGAUACUGCCGGGGUCAACUCGGAGGAAGGUGGGGAUGACGUCAAAUCAUCAUGCCCCUUAUGUCUUGGGCUUCACGCAUGCUACAAUGGCCGGUACAAAGGGCUGCAAUACCGUGAGGUGGAGCGAAUCCCGAAAAGCCGGUCCCAGUUCGGAUUGAGGUCUGCAACUCGACCUCAUG
This 547-nucleotide ribosomal RNA is filed under the name uncultured bacterium. Its description in RNAcentral is "bacterial SSU rRNA". It matches the Rfam family "Bacterial small subunit ribosomal RNA", at positions 777 to 1322 of the family's 1533-position model. The record is from RNAcentral.